AACGAACGCUGGCGGCGUGCUUAACACAUGCAAGUCGAACGCGAAAGGGGCUUCGGUCCUGAGUAGAGUGGCGCACGGGUGAGUAACGCGUAGAUAACCUGUCCUGGUGUCUGGAAUAACGUCUCGAAAGGGGCACUAAUACCGGAUAUUCUUGCUUUCUUCAAGGUAUGCAAGGAAAGGUGGCCUCUGGAACAAGCUACUGCACGAGGAGGGGUCUGCGUACCAUUAGCUAGUAGGUGGGGUAAUGGCCUACCUAGGCGACGAUGGUUAGCGGGUGUGAGAGGAUGAUCGGCCACACGGGCACUGGAAUACGGGCCAGACUCCUACGGGAGGCAGCAGUGAGGAAUAUUGCGCAAUGGGGGCAACCCUGACGCAGCGACGCCGCGUGAGUGAGGAAGGCCUUCGGGUCGUAAAGCUCUGUCAAGAGGGAAGAAGUGCAUGGUGGUUAAUAUCCGUCAUGUUUGACGGUACCUCUAAAGGAAGCACCGGCUAACUCCGUGCCAGCCGCCGCUGUAA
Molecule: ribosomal RNA, 516 nt
Filed under: uncultured bacterium
Lineage: Bacteria
Description: partial 16S ribosomal RNA
Rfam family: Bacterial small subunit ribosomal RNA
Source: RNAcentral